GACGGAGGGCGCGAGCGUUAUUCGUUUUGAUUGGGUGUAAAGGGUGUGUAGGUGGCGCCGUUAGUCGGGUGUGAAAUUUCGGAGCUUAACUCCGAAACUGCAUUCGAUACUGCGGUGCUUGAGGACUGGAGAGGAGACUGGAAUUCAUGGUGUAGCAGUGAAAUGCGUAGAGAUCAUGAGGAAGACCAGUGGCGAAGGCGGGUCUCUGGACAGUUCCUGACACUGAGACACGAAGGCCAGGGGAGCAAACGGG
RNAcentral lists this ribosomal RNA (253 nucleotides) under uncultured bacterium. RNAcentral describes it as "partial 16S ribosomal RNA". It matches the Rfam family "Bacterial small subunit ribosomal RNA", at positions 524 to 776 of the family's 1533-position model. The record is from RNAcentral.